UGAAGUUGGAUUCGCUAGUAAUCGCGCAUCAGCCAUGGCGCGGUGAAUACGUUCCCGGGCCUUGUACACACCGCCCGUCAAGCCAUGGAAGCCGGGAGUGCCUGAAGUGCGUGAGCGCAAGCAGCGCCCUAAGGUAAAACCGGUGACUGGGGCUAAGUCGUAACAAGGUAGC
Molecule: ribosomal RNA, 172 nt
Filed under: uncultured bacterium
Lineage: Bacteria
Description: partial 16S ribosomal RNA
Rfam family: Bacterial small subunit ribosomal RNA
Source: RNAcentral